GUAGUGGUGGUUUGGUGGUAGAAUUCUCACCUUCCAUGCAGGAGACCUGGGUUCAAUUCCUGGCCAAUGCA
Molecule: transfer RNA, 71 nt
Filed under: Loxodonta africana (African savanna elephant)
Lineage: Eukaryota; Metazoa; Chordata; Mammalia; Proboscidea; Elephantidae
Rfam family: tRNA
About the family: Transfer RNA (tRNA) molecules are approximately 80 nucleotides in length. Their secondary structure includes four short double-helical elements and three loops (D, anti-codon, and T loops). Further hydrogen bonds mediate the characteristic L-shaped molecular structure. tRNAs have two regions of fundamental functional importance: the anti-codon, which is responsible for specific mRNA codon recognition, and the 3' end, to which the tRNAs corresponding amino acid is attached (by aminoacyl-tRNA synthetases). tRNAs cope with the degeneracy of the genetic code in two manners: having more than one tRNA (with a specific anti-codon) for a particular amino acid; and 'wobble' base-pairing, i.e. permitting non-standard base-pairing at the 3rd anti-codon position.
Source: Rfam by way of RNAcentral